Molecule: ribosomal RNA, 140 nt
Filed under: uncultured eukaryote
Lineage: Eukaryota
Description: partial 18S ribosomal RNA
Rfam family: Eukaryotic small subunit ribosomal RNA
Source: RNAcentral
UGGUGGAGCGAUUUGUCUGGUUAAUUCCGUUAACGAACGAGACCUCAGCCUGUUAAUUAGAUUCGUCAAUGUUUUCAUUGGUCGUGGUCUUCUUAGAGGGACUAUCGGUUUUUAGCCGAGGGAAGUAUGAGGCAAUAACA